CCUACGGGAGACAGCAGUGAGGAAUAUUGGUCAAUGGACGAAACUCUGACCCAGCCACGCCGCGUGAAGGAUGAAGGCCCUAUGGGUUGUAAACUUUUUUUAUAUGGGAAUAAAAUGUUCCACGUGUGGGAUUUUGUAUGUACCAUAAGAAUAAGGAUCGGCCAACUCCGUGCCAGCAGCCGCGGUAAUACGGAGGAACCGAGCGUUAUCCGGAUUUAUUGGGUUUAAAGGGAGCGUAGGUGGAUUGUUAAGUCAGUUGUGAAAGUUUGUGGCUCAACCGUAGAAUUGCAGUUGAAACUGGCAGUCUUGAGUGCAGUAGAGGUGAGCGGAAUUCGUGGUGUAGCGGUGAAAUGCGUAGAUAUCACGAAGAACUCCGAUUGCGAAGGCAGUUCACUGGACUGCAACUGACACUGAGGCUCGAAAGUGUGGGUAGCAAACAGGAUUAGAUACCCGAGUAGUC
This 460-nucleotide ribosomal RNA is filed under the name uncultured bacterium. RNAcentral describes it as "partial 16S ribosomal RNA". It matches the Rfam family "Bacterial small subunit ribosomal RNA", at positions 338 to 795 of the family's 1533-position model. The record is from RNAcentral.